Molecule: ribosomal RNA, 311 nt
Filed under: bacterium enrichment culture clone ALO1_GLFRUDD03GDYA4
Lineage: Bacteria
Description: bacterial SSU rRNA
Rfam family: Bacterial small subunit ribosomal RNA
Source: RNAcentral
GAGUUUGAUCUUGGCUCAGAUUGAACGCUGGCGGCAUGCCUUACACAUGCAAGUCGAACGGCAGCACGGGAGCUUGCUCCUGGUGGCGAGUGGCGAACGGUGAGUAAUGCAUCGGAACGUAGUCCUGGAGUGGGGGAUAAACGUAGCGAAAGUUACGCUAAUACCGCAUAUUCUGUAGAGGCAGGAAAGCGGGGGACCUUCGGGCCUCGCGCUCUUGGAGCGGCCGAUGUCGGAUUAGCUAGGUUGGUGAGGUAAAGGCUCGACCAAGGCGACGAUCCGUAGCAGGUCUGAGAGGAUCGAUCUGCCACACU